This is a long non-coding RNA of Daphnia pulex (common water flea), 1401 nucleotides long. RefSeq lists it as uncharacterized. Lineage: Eukaryota; Metazoa; Arthropoda; Branchiopoda; Diplostraca; Daphniidae. The transcript has 3 exons. The record is from RefSeq and is a predicted model, not a curated record.
AACAACAAGAACGACAGUGGCGACAUCUAGUAAUGAGUUUUGAAUCUUAUGUCAGUUGCACAAUCACAGUCGCACAUACGUGACAUUACACGUCGUAACUUUCAUUACUUCAAAACAAAUUUAAAGGUUAAACAACGGAGAUCGGACAAUGAUUUAAGUGUUUUAAAUAAUUUCAGCUGAAGUUUUUGUGUACCUGGCCAACUAGGUGCUCGUGACAGUAGAAAUAAAAUGGUCUAAUCCCAAAGUGCUAGCUCGCAAUCUAUGUCUUCUGAAGCUAAAUAAUUUCUGCUUCAAGGUAUUUGAUCAUAUCAUGUUACAAAAAUUUAAUCAACUGUGUUCUUUAAGGUUUAAAAUGUUCACAUUAACUUUUCCCUGUCAAGUUUUGGUAAAUUUUCAAGAUAUUGAUGCCUUCGCCAGAUCCAAUUUUUACUCAGCUCACAUGUGUCCAGAUUACUCACGAGUCUCCAAAUCUCCAAUUUGAUGAUGGGUUUCGAAUCGCAGAAUGGGGACGAAGCAGGGAGACUCGUUUUAUUCACCAUGUCGAUAUAGCCGGCACAUCGCAGAGGAUUGAGACAUUUGGCGACUAAAUUCCAUAGAACAUUAAUUCUUUGUUUAUUAAAAAUUUCCGAGUAGACGUACGAAAAUAAUAUGGAUCGUAGUUCGUAAGUUUAUAACGGAUUCGUUUGAAACAAUAACGUAACAGAACGAAAAGCUGGUUUCAAAAUCAAACAGGAUUACUUUCCUCAUGACGAUCAGGAUCAUCCAUCCUACAAGUAAUGUAAUGAAGUAAAUUAAAAAUUUAUUUAAUAGUUAAAAGGAAAAAAAUAGCAAACCUGAAAAUGAAUAAGUCGUUCAUAUUAUUCAAUUGUUGGUUAUCCACUCCAAGUGGCGUGAGAAAAACAAAUUGACGGCCUGAUUUCUCACUUGCUUCAGUAACUAAUAACUCCAUGCAGAGCGACCGAUUAACGUGGUCCUACGCAAAGAAUAGGUAGUGAGGAAUCCAAAUCAGCUUUCUUAAAUAUUUGAGUUUAAAAUUUAAAAAAUAUACAUGGCAAAUGGUUUACCAUAAAUACGUCAAACUCAUCGAGGAUUCUGAAUGGGCUUUCGGUGGCCUCCCACAAGGACAAAAUGAAGCAAAUCGUCGUGAAAGACCGUUCCCCACCGCUUAAGGAUCGAAUGUCGGUUGCACCACUUUCACGACCGCGUUUAGCCGGUUGAGAGGAUUCAUCACGACCAGGUGGAACAACUAUCAUUGAAAGGGUUGAGAAAACAGAUUAGCUUACACUAUAGUGACGAGUUCUCAAAAGGGCCCGAAAUAUUUUGAAUGUUCUUGAUUCGAUGCAAUCGCGAAAUACGCUAAUGAAAUCUUUACGCUUCUUGCUCAUGUCCAUCAUUUUCUAU